RNAcentral lists this ribosomal RNA (406 nucleotides) under uncultured bacterium. RNAcentral's name for it is "partial 16S ribosomal RNA". It matches the Rfam family "Bacterial small subunit ribosomal RNA", at positions 30 to 526 of the family's 1533-position model. The record is from RNAcentral.
AUUGAACGCUGGCGGCAGGCCUAACACAUGCAAGUCGAACGAGUGGCGGACGGGUGAGUAAUGUCUGGGAAACUGCCUGAUGGAGGGGGAUAACUACUGGAAACGGUAUCUAAUACCGCAUACCAUCAGAUGUGCCCAGAUGGGAUUGGCUAGUUGGUGGGGUAACGGCUCACCAAGGCGACGAUCCCUAGCUGGUCGGAGAGGCUGACCUGCCACACUGGAACGGAGACACGGUCAAGACUCCUACGGGAGGCAGCAGUGGGGAAUAUUGAACAAUGGGCGCAGUCCUGAUGCAGCCAUGCCGCGUGUAUGAGGAGGGCCUUCGGGUUGUAAAGUACUUUCGGCGGGGAGGCGUUACCCGCAGAUGAAGCACCGGCUAACUCCGUGCCAGCAGCCGCGGUAAUAC